This 603-nucleotide ribosomal RNA is filed under the name uncultured fungus. RNAcentral describes it as "eukaryotic LSU rRNA". It matches the Rfam family "Eukaryotic large subunit ribosomal RNA", at positions 23 to 641 of the family's 3401-position model. The record is from RNAcentral. Lineage: Eukaryota; Fungi.
ACCCGCUGAACUUAAGCAUAUCAAUAAGCGGAGGAAAAGAAACCAACAGGGAUUGCCCUAGUAACGGCGAGUGAAGCGGCAACAGCUCAAAUUUGAAAUCUGGCGUCUUUGGCGUCCGAGUUGUAAUUUGCAGAGGGCGCUUUGGCAUUGGCAGCGGUCCAAGUUCCUUGGAACAGGACGUCACAGAGGGUGAGAAUCCCGUACGUGGUCGCUAGCCUUUACCGUGUAAAGCCCCUUCGACGAGUCGAGUUGUUUGGGAAUGCAGCUCUAAAUGGGAGGUAAAUUUCUUCUAAAGCUAAAUACUGGCCAGAGGCCGAUAGCGCACAAGUAGAGUGAUCGAAAGAUGAAAAGCACUUUGGAAAGAGAGUUAAAAAGCACGUGAAAUUGUUGAAAGGGAAGCGCUUGCAGCCAGACUUGCCUGUAGUUGCUCAUCCGGGUUUUUACCCGGUGCACUCUUCUAUAGGCAGGCCAGCAUCAGUUUGGGCGGUUGGAUAAAGGUCUCUGUCAUGUACCUCUCUUCGGGGAGAACUUAUAGGGGAGACGACAUGCAACCAGCCCGGACUGAGGUCCGCGCAUCUGCUAGGAUGCUGGCGUAAUGGCUGU